RNAcentral lists this ribosomal RNA (393 nucleotides) under uncultured bacterium. RNAcentral's name for it is "partial 16S ribosomal RNA". It matches the Rfam family "Bacterial small subunit ribosomal RNA", at positions 523 to 918 of the family's 1533-position model. The record is from RNAcentral.
AUACGGAGGAUCCGAGCGUUAUCCGGAUUUAUUGGGUUUAAAGGGAGCGUAGGUGGACAUGUAAGUCAGUUGUGAAAGUUUGCGGCUCAACCGUAAAAUUGCAGUUGAUACUGUGUGUCUUGAGUACAGUAGAGGUGGGCGGAAUUCGUGGUGUAGCGGUGAAAUGCUUAGAUAUCACGAAGAACUCCGAUUGCGAAGGCAGCUCACUGGACUGUUACUGACACUGAGGCUCGAAAGUGUGGGUAUCAAACAGGAUUAGAUACCCUGGUAGUCCACACAGUAAACGAUGAAUACUCGCUGUUUGCGAUAUACGGCAAGCGGCCAAGCGAAAGCAUUAAGUAUUCCACCUGGGGAGUACGCCGGCAACGGUGAAACUCAAAUGAAUUGACGGGG